ACAGAGGUCCCAAGCGUUGUUCGGAUUCACUGGGCGUAAAGGGUGCGUAGGCGGUUUGAUAAGUCUGAUGUGAAAUCCCGCAGCUUAACUGCGGAACUGCAUUGGAGACUAUUUGACUAGAGGAAUGGAGGGGAGACUGGAAUACUUGGUGUAGCAGUGAAAUGCGUAGAUAUCAAGUGGAACACCAGUGGCGAAGGCGAGUCUCUGGACAUUUCCUGACGCUGAGGCACGAAAGCCAGGGGAGCAAACGGGAUUAGAUACCCCGGUAGUCCUGGCCCUAAACGGUGCACGUUUGCUGUAAGCGGAAUCGACCCCGCUUGUGGCGUAGUUAACACGAUAAACGUGCCGCCUGGGAAGUACGGCCGCAAGGUUA
RNAcentral lists this ribosomal RNA (373 nucleotides) under uncultured bacterium. RNAcentral describes it as "bacterial SSU rRNA". It matches the Rfam family "Bacterial small subunit ribosomal RNA", at positions 525 to 896 of the family's 1533-position model. The record is from RNAcentral.